RNAcentral lists this ribosomal RNA (662 nucleotides) under uncultured bacterium. Its description in RNAcentral is "bacterial SSU rRNA". It matches the Rfam family "Bacterial small subunit ribosomal RNA", at positions 1 to 663 of the family's 1533-position model. The record is from RNAcentral.
GGCUUAGAGUUUGAUCAUGGCUCAGGAUGAACGCUGGCGGCGUGCCUAACACAUGCAAGUCGAGCGAAGCACUUUGCUUUGAAUCUUUCGGGAGGACGAGUGAUUUGACUGAGCGGCGGACGGGUGAGUAACGCGUGGGCAACCUGCCUCACACAGGGGGAUAACAGUUAGAAAUGACUGCUAAUACCGCACAAGGCCACAGCACCGCAUGGUGCAGGGGUAAAAACUCCGGUGGUGUGAGAUGGGCCCGCGUCUGAUUAGGUAGUUGGUGAGGUAACGGCUCACCAAGCCGACGAUCAGUAGCCGACCUGAGAGGGUGACCGGCCACAUUGGGACUGAGACACGGCCCAAACUCCUACGGGAGGCAGCAGUGGGGAAUAUUGCACAAUGGGGGAAACCCUGAUGCAGCGACGCCGCGUGAGCGAUGAAGUAUUUCGGUAUGUAAAGCUCUAUCAGCAGGGAAGAAACUGACGGUACCUGACUAAGAAGCACCGGCUAAAUACGUGCCAGCAGCCGCGGUAAUACGUAUGGUGCAAGCGUUAUCCGGAUUUACUGGGUGUAAAGGGAGCGUAGACGGACUUGCAAGUCUGAAGUGAAAGCCCGGGGCUCAACCCCGGGACUGCUUUGGAAACUGUAGGUCUAGAGUGCUGGAGAGGUAAGUG